GGGCCAUGGAACAUAUGCUGGUGCUAGCCACUGAUCGGAAUCAACAAUCAACGCAAACAUUCAUAAAUCUCCGCAUAUGUAAGAAAAACUCUCAUUAAUGCACAUAUUCGAGAUGAAGGAUCGAGCCUUUGGUUGGGACCGAGCUUCACAAUUUGGAACUCAAGUUAUGCCCAUUUACGAAUUCCGAGCUGAGGGAUCGAGCCUUAGGUAUAAUUGAGCUUCACUAUGCGAUUUGGACCUCCAACUUAGGCCUAUUUUUGAGCUCAGGGAUAGAGCCUCAGGUAGAACCGAGCUUUUCUUGGCGAUUUGAAAUUGGUGCUUGUCGGGAAAGCUUUUUAAUGAUUCAUUCUUAACAAUACGUACUCGAUUAUCCAUAAUUCUCCAUUGCAUAUGUUUGUUUCUAAAUAACCAGUUUGUUUUAUUGUGGCAAAGCAAAGAUAUGUU
RNAcentral lists this long non-coding RNA (444 nucleotides) under Helianthus annuus (common sunflower). RNAcentral describes it as "hypothetical non coding rna". The record is from RNAcentral. Lineage: Eukaryota; Viridiplantae; Streptophyta; Magnoliopsida; Asterales; Asteraceae.